This 686-nucleotide ribosomal RNA is filed under the name Escherichia coli. RNAcentral's name for it is "bacterial SSU rRNA". It matches the Rfam family "Bacterial small subunit ribosomal RNA", at positions 846 to 1532 of the family's 1533-position model. The record is from RNAcentral. Lineage: Bacteria; Pseudomonadati; Pseudomonadota; Gammaproteobacteria; Enterobacterales; Enterobacteriaceae.
CCGGAGCUAACGCGUUAAGUCGACCGCCUGGGGAGUACGGCCGCAAGGUUAAAACUCAAAUGAAUUGACGGGGGCCCGCACAAGCGGUGGAGCAUGUGGUUUAAUUCGAUGCAACGCGAAGAACCUUACCUGGUCUUGACAUCCACGGAAGUUUUCAGAGAUGAGAAUGUGCCUUCGGGAACCGUGAGACAGGUGCUGCAUGGCUGUCGUCAGCUCGUGUUGUGAAAUGUUGGGUUAAGUCCCGCAACGAGCGCAACCCUUAUCCUUUGUUGCCAGCGGUCCGGCCGGGAACUCAAAGGAGACUGCCAGUGAUAAACUGGAGGAAGGUGGGGAUGACGUCAAGUCAUCAUGGCCCUUACGACCAGGGCUACACACGUGCUACAAUGGCGCAUACAAAGAGAAGCGACCUCGCGAGAGCAAGCGGACCUCAUAAAGUGCGUCGUAGUCCGGAUUGGAGUCUGCAACUCGACUCCAUGAAGUCGGAAUCGCUAGUAAUCGUGGAUCAGAAUGCCACGGUGAAUACGUUCCCGGGCCUUGUACACACCGCCCGUCACACCAUGGGAGUGGGUUGCAAAAGAAGUAGGUAGCUUAACCUUCGGGAGGGCGCUUACCACUUUGUGAUUCAUGACUGGGGUGAAGUCGUAACAAGGUAACCGUAGGGGAACCUGCGGUUGGAUCACCUCCUU